CCCUUAGACGUUCUGGGCCGCACGCGCGCUACACUGACCAGUGCAACAAGCAUCCGUCCUUGGCCGACAGGCCCGGGCAAUCUUUGAACGCUGGUCGUGAUAGGGAUAGACUUUUGCAAUUUUUGGUCUUCAACGAGGAAUUCCUAGUAAACGCAAGUCAUCAACUUGCAUUGAUUACGUCCCUGCCCUUUGUACACACCGCCCGUCGCACCUACCGAUUGAAUGGUCCGGUGAAGCCUCCGGAUUGGCGCGCACCUCGGUGCCGCCGAGAAGUUGGCUAAACCUUACCAUUUAGAGGAAGGUGAAGUCGUAACA
RNAcentral lists this ribosomal RNA (315 nucleotides) under uncultured eukaryote. RNAcentral describes it as "partial 18S ribosomal RNA". It matches the Rfam family "Eukaryotic small subunit ribosomal RNA", at positions 1470 to 1796 of the family's 1831-position model. The record is from RNAcentral.